GGCCUGAUAGCUCAACUGGUAGACCACUGCACCAGCAUUGCAGAAGUCAGGUUUACAAAUCACCAUUCAGGCCU
RNAcentral lists this transfer RNA (74 nucleotides) under Acropora cervicornis. Its description in RNAcentral is "tRNA-Ala". The record is from RNAcentral. Lineage: Eukaryota; Metazoa; Cnidaria; Anthozoa; Scleractinia; Acroporidae.